UAUAAGUACACGCCUUAAAAAGGUGAAACCGCGAACGGCUCAUUACAACAGCUAUAAUCUACUCGGUCUUGAACAGUUACUCGGAUAACUGUGGUAAUUCUAGAGCUAAUACGUGCACCGAUGCUGUCCCUCGCGGGGCAGUGCAUUUGUUGGAGCAAAACCAGGCGGCUUCGGCCGUUUUUGCUGACUCAGAACAACUUAGCUGAUCGCAUGGGCUUGUCCCGGCGACGUACCGUCCGAGUGUCUGCCUUAUCAACUUUCGAUGGUAGUGUACGUGACUACCAUGGUUGUGACGGGUAACGGAGGAUAAGGGUUCGACUCCGGAGAAGGGGCCUGAGAAAUGGCCACUACGUCUAAGGAUGGCAGCAGGCGCGCAAAUUACCCACUCUCGGUUCGAGGAGGUAGUGACGAAAAAUAACAAGGCUGUUCUCUACGAGGCCAGCCAUUGGAAUGGGUACAACACAAACCCUUUAACGAGUAUCAAUGAGAGGGCAAGUCUGGUGCCAGCAGCCGCGGUAAUUCCAGCUCUCAAAAUGCAUAGAACCAUUGCUGCGGUUAAAAAGCUCGUAGUUGGAUCUGUGCCGGCGACGUGGUCCACCCGAAAGGGCGGCACUGCGCUCGUCGGCUUUGGGCCGGUCUUCGUGCGGUCGCCUUCAUCGGUGGCCGUGCGUGGCUGGCUGGUUUACUUUGAGCAAAUCAGAGUGCUCAGCACAGGCGUUUCGCCGGAAUGUUCGUGCAUGGAAUAAUAGAAAAGGAUUUCGGUCCUCUUUUAUUGGUUUUGUGGACUGAGAUAAUGGUUAACAGAGACGAACGGGGGCAUUCGUAUUGCUGCGUGAGAGGUGAAAUUCUUGGACCGCAGCAGGACGGACUACAGCGAAAGCAUUUGCCAAGCGCGUCUUCAUUAAUCAAGAACGAAAGUCAGAGGUUCGAAGGCGAUCAGAUA
RNAcentral lists this ribosomal RNA (943 nucleotides) under Criconema loofi. RNAcentral's name for it is "SSU rRNA". It matches the Rfam family "Eukaryotic small subunit ribosomal RNA", at positions 58 to 1014 of the family's 1831-position model. Lineage: Eukaryota; Metazoa; Nematoda; Chromadorea; Rhabditida; Criconematidae. The record is from RNAcentral.